This 253-nucleotide ribosomal RNA is filed under the name uncultured bacterium. RNAcentral's name for it is "partial 16S ribosomal RNA". It matches the Rfam family "Bacterial small subunit ribosomal RNA", at positions 524 to 776 of the family's 1533-position model. The record is from RNAcentral.
UACGUAGGGGGCAAGCGUUAUCCGGAUUCACUGGGUAUAAAGGGAGCGUAGACGGCCAUGCAAGCCUGGAGUGAAAGCCCGGGGCCCAACCCCGGGACUGCUCUGGGAACUGUGCGGCUGGAGUGCGGGAGGGGCAGGCGGAAUUCCUGGUGUAGCGGUGAAAUGCGUAGAUAUCAGGAGGAACACCGGCGGCGAAGGCGGCCUGCUGGACCGCGACUGACGUUGAGGCUCGAAAGCGUGGGGAGCAAACAGG